GGGAAUGUACCCUUUGCUACGGGAUAGCUCCGGGAAACUGGAAUUAAUACCGUAUGUGCCCUUCGGGGGAAAGAUUUAUCGGCAAGGGAUCAGCCCGCGUUGGAUUAGCUAGUUGGUGGGGUAAAAGCCUACCAAGGCGACGAUCCAUAGCUGGUCUGAGAGGAUGAUCAGCCACAUUGGGACUGAGACACGGCCCAAACUCCUACGGGAGGCAGCAGUGGGGAAUAUUGGACAAUGGGCGCAAGCCUGAUCCAGCCAUGCCGCGUGUGUGAUGAAGGCCUUAGGGUUGUAAAGCACUUUCACCGAUGAAGAUAAUGACGGUAGUCGGAGAAGAAGCCCCGGCUAACUUCGUGCCAGCAGCCGCGGUAAUACGAAGGGGGCUAGCGUUGUUCGGAAUUACUGGGCGUAAAGCGCACGUAGGCGGAUAUUUAAGUCAGGGGUGAACUCCCAGAGCUCAACUCUGGAACUGCCUUUGAUACUGGGUAUCUUGAGUAUGGAAGAGGUAAGUGGAAUUCCGAGU
This 520-nucleotide ribosomal RNA is filed under the name uncultured bacterium. RNAcentral describes it as "bacterial SSU rRNA". It matches the Rfam family "Bacterial small subunit ribosomal RNA", at positions 120 to 674 of the family's 1533-position model. The record is from RNAcentral.